GGCAAAAACAGUCUUCUUUGAAUAUUUUAAACAAAUAUUUAUUUAUACCAUGCAGCUUAGCCAUUGUGGGCUUCCCGCGUACCAAAGAAUCGAGAAUGAACAUCGGUUUUUCACAGGGUCAGGAGUAAACAUGGAUGUAUAAUUUACGUAUAUAAUUUUAUCAUAAUAACAACACCAUAUAUUUUUGUUUGCAAGAAAACGAACACAAGUGAAUGAUUAGAAUCUGGAAAAAUAACAACAGAGGGUUUUUAUGCACUCAGAGAAGAGUGGAAAAUUAGACACUGAAUUAUAUUUAUACAAAGUACGUGCUACAAUUACAUUAGACAAAUGAUUAUUAAAGUACAUAAAUCCUUUUUUACACCAGAGCUGUGCGUUUAAUUUAAAAGAAGUACGCUUAGAUUUGAAGUUAGCCAAUCCCGGCGUAACUUUAGCCCGGGCCCCCGGCUUUAACUGAAACGUUUGCUUCACCUAAUG
This is a non-coding RNA of Paramuricea clavata, 474 nucleotides long. NCBI's taxonomy places the organism in Eukaryota, Metazoa, Cnidaria, Anthozoa, Malacalcyonacea, Plexauridae. The record is from the annotation of a GenBank genome assembly.